Molecule: unclassified non-coding RNA, 245 nt
Filed under: fungal sp.
Lineage: Eukaryota; Fungi
Description: partial internal transcribed spacer region
Source: RNAcentral
AAGUCGUAACAAGGUAACAAGUCCAAACAUUACAAUCCCCACGUGAAUCCUCCUGCUUCGAAGGUUGCAAUCUCUGGUAAAUAAGAUUCAGAGACCUCUCAGAGGCCUGUGAGGAUAUUGGAACAGUUACAAUUUUGCGCGGUACUUCUAGAGGCCUUGUUUCCCAAGCAGUCAGUGUCUGAAAGUGUCAUUGAUUGUGCUAGGAUCAAUGUAUUACAUUGGGUAAAAGCCAUAUCUUGGUUCUC